CCUGACGCAGCAACGCCGCGUGAGUGAUGAAGGUCGUCGGAUCGUAAAGCUCUUUCGGCUGGGACGAAAACGGUCUGGCGAACAACCAGGCCCUGGUCGGUACCGGAAGAAGAAGCACCGGCUAACUCUGUGCCCGCAGCCGCGGUAAUACAGAGGGUGCAAGCGUCGCUCGGGAGUACUGGGCGUAAAGCGCGUGUAGGCUGCG
Molecule: ribosomal RNA, 205 nt
Filed under: uncultured bacterium
Lineage: Bacteria
Description: partial 16S ribosomal RNA
Rfam family: Bacterial small subunit ribosomal RNA
Source: RNAcentral